Molecule: ribosomal RNA, 496 nt
Filed under: uncultured bacterium
Lineage: Bacteria
Description: partial 16S ribosomal RNA
Rfam family: Bacterial small subunit ribosomal RNA
Source: RNAcentral
GGUGAACGCUGGCGGCGUGCCUAAUACAUGCAAGUCGAGCGAACAGAUGAGGAGCUUGCUCCUCUGACGUUAGCGGCGGACGGGUGAGUAACACGUGGAUAACCUACCUAUAAGACUGGGAUAACUUCGGGAAACCGGAGCUAAUACCGGAUAAUAUAUUGAACCGCAUGGUUCAAUAGUGAAAGACGGUUUUGCUGUCACUUAUAGAUGGAUCCGCGCCGCAUUAGCUAGUUGGUAAGGUAACGGCUUACCAAGGCAACGAUGCGUAGCCGACCUGAGAGGGUGAUCGGCCACACUGGAACUGAGACACGGUCCAGACUCCUACGGGAGGCAGCAGUAGGGAAUCUUCCGCAGUGGGCGAAAGCCUGACGGAGCAACGCCGCGUGAGUGAUGAAGGUCUUCGGAUCGUAAAACUCUGUUAUUAGGGAAGAACAAAUGUGUAAGUAACUAUGCACGUCUUGACGGUACCUAAGCAGAAAGCCACGGCUAACUACGU